UAGGCGUAAAUGAUGCGAGUUAAGUGUGGGGGCAUCUACGAGAUGGCCCUGUGCUGUAGGGUAGCCGUUAAACUCGCUGCCUGGGGAGUACGGUCGCAAGGCUGAAACUUAAAGGAAUUGGCGGGGGAGCACUACAACGGGUGGAGCCUGCGGUUUAAUUGGACUCAACGCCGGAAAACUCACCGGGGGCGACAGCAAUAUGAAGGCCAAGCUGAAGACUUUGCCGGAUUAGCUGAGAGGAGGUGCAUGGCGUAGUCGUGU
RNAcentral lists this ribosomal RNA (261 nucleotides) under uncultured archaeon. Its description in RNAcentral is "partial 16S ribosomal RNA". It matches the Rfam family "Archaeal small subunit ribosomal RNA", at positions 748 to 1009 of the family's 1478-position model. The record is from RNAcentral.